AUGAGCAACUCUCCAGAUUUGCCCCUGCAGUCCCCCAGAGGGUGCCCCUGGCCACCUUCUGGCCUUUCCCUGCACCAACCCCUGGAUAAAACAGGAGCCCCCAGGUCUGCACUUGGCUUGACUCGAUGGGCAUCCACCUCCCCGUGCACAGACCCCCCGGCCAGCGCCCACCAGCCCUUCCACGCGGUCCGCCUAGCAGUGUGCUCCAGAAGGCAGGCCCCACCCUCAGCAGCAAGGCCACGUGUGUGUGCUCUUUACGCUCCAGCCACUUACGAUUUCGAGCUGGAGGGGGGCUGGGGUCCCACGUCCGAGGUCCAUUCCCACGUAGGAAUCCAGGUGAUGGCUUCGGCUGUAAGGAGAAGAGGGGGCAGGGGACCACCAGGAAGAAGACUUGGGUCCAGGGUGGUGGGCCCCAUCGGGGCCUCUUCCGCGGCUUCCAUCAGCAGUUCUUCAGCUGACCCAGCCAGGCCACGGCCCACGUGCCUUGGGGAAGGGUAGACAGUUAGAAUCACAGCAAGGCAAGCAUCCCGGAAAAGCCAAACACGCCCAAGAAAGACACGGGGCUUGGCCUCACCUGCAGUUUUUUGCUUUUCAGUGGAGUGGGGUGACUAGUGGGGGAUGCCCAAUGAUAGGAAAAGGUGCAAAGAAGCAACGGGCUGGGUUAGAGGCAGCCCCAAACCCAGAACCAAGUGGGGAACAAGGGACCAGGCAGGGCAAAGCCCAGGACUCUCAGGGCCAUGACGAAGACAAGGGCAGGCAGGGGCAACACCCACCAGGGAACGAUCACGAGGGGUCUCUGGGAAGGGAGAGGCGUCUGUCCAUAGCCCUGAGGCCAGGCCCACAGGAGGAGGCAUUGGAGGAUGCUUGGCAGGAGAUGGAGACACCAGCAGGGGCUUGUCGGGGGCACUGGGAACCUGCUGGAAACAGGCAGCUGGAGUGGGAGUGGCUCCUGGGUCAGGGCAGUGAUACUCAGACCUCAGGACGGCCAGGUGACCACAGGUAUGGGGUUGGCAGGGAGAACCAGACUGCUAAGCAGAGGGCUGUGGAGCUGAGCCCCGGAGCCCAGGGAUUGAGGCAGAGAAGGGGAGAUGGGUCAGGCCCACCUCAGGAGACAGAGCAAGCGGAGCGCCGGAUGGGUGAGGAACCUGGCCGUUGGAGAGCUACCAGGGAGAGCCAAGUCAGCAGCUGGGCAGAGGCAGAGCCUGCAGAUGCUCCCUGGAGGUUUCCCCUACUGGUCCUCUGCAUGGGACACGGGCCCCAGCAGCUGCUAGAGGGUUAAGGAGCUGGACCAAGCCCCGGGGGAGGAAGGCAUCAUGGCAAGGGAAGGGUCGCAGUCACAACCACACCUCGAGAGGGAGACCUGUGGCCAAAGCCCGGGGGCACACACUACAGCUGUUCCCAUGCCCACUUUGGUCCUGAGAGACUCAGGGCCGGGGUCCAGAACAGCUCAGCAUCAGGGAUGGGGCAGGGAAGGCAGAGAGGGAGAAGGUGCUGGCUCCGACCAGAGCAGAGCCCUGGGGAUAGCUUGAAUCUGCCCUCACACCCUCCAGCCUGACCUCUAUGGAGCCGGAGUCCACUGCUCCAGCCCCUGGGGCAACCCCCCGGCCCGCCCUCCUGGGGACACAGAGGCCAUCAAGGGAUGGGCUACGGUGGCAGGUGCCCAGGCCAAAGCCAGGGCUGUGGAUGUGCUCAGUUAGGAUCAACUGUUGGAUGAUGGAUGGCCGCGCAGGUGAAUGCAAGGACGCAACCAGUAAGGCCCCUGUUCAAGGGGGGCCAGGGUCGGAAGCUGCUCACACCCUUCUCAAAAAUGAAUUCCACCCUCCAGCCUUUGCACCUAGAACUCUUCGCGUGGCCCACCUGGUGGCUCAGCUGUGGUGGUCGAGUCCUUCCAUCCACUCACCUGGCAAAACCCUACAUCCCACAUACUCUAACAGAGCCCCACUCUGUGCCAGGCUGGUGCUGGGACACCCUGAGGAAGCACGGGGCUGGCCAAGGGCACCACAGGAGGACCAGGUCAGGAAUUGGGGGAGGGACAAAGAGAGAGAGACAUUGAGAGAGAGGACAGGCGAGGAAGAAGGCAACAGAAGCAGAAAAAGCAGUGACUCAAGGAGCCAGGUUAAAGGGGCUGCCCCUACACUCAAGGAAGCAAUGAGAUCCCUCUGCCAGCGCCUCAGAAAAGUCCAGAAACCCAAGCAGGAUGGGGACGUGGGGAGUUAACUUUUAAAAGUUUGUUAAGGCUACAGCAAAACCCCAGAGAACCUGCCCGGGGCUAACUGAUUUCUUCCAUGCCCGCUCCAGGCUUUUGACUGUCCACAGGAGCUACUGUAGUACUAACAGUGGCUUUGGGGCCUGUGUGUUAAUGAUUGCCAUGUAUCUGAGGGUGAGGAGGGUGCCAUCGAUUCUUCGUUACUAUUGAAGAAAGUCUUCUCAUUCAGAAUCAGGCGUGCUCUAUUUUUCUACUCACCAACAGCUACAUGGCAGGGAGGCCAGGUUUUCGUGUGAUCUCAGCUUCAGAGGUCUAUACCCCAGUCCACCCGUAGUCUCAACACUCCCCUAGACAGAGUGGCCAACUACAUCACUGGGAAAAGUCUCACCUUGGCAAAAGGGGAUGAAAGAUUGCCUCAGGCUUUUGCCCCAACCUGCCAAUGGAAGAUCCUUCCACGUUCUUUCUCAUGGGGCACUGGGGUAGAGUUGGUUUUGCUAACUUGGAAACAGUAUCCAAUUCUAAUUCACGAUGUCAGAGAACCGUUAGCCAACAGACUCAUCAAGGAAGGAAGGCCCCAUAAGGUUUCAACUAAUAACAUUUUCUUGCUCCAACUACCCACCUUAUCCCCUAGUUUUUUUCCCAUUUGGCUAAAGGUCCAACUGGAGCCUAAGGUUAAUUGGAGUGAUCUAAUCAUGAUUGAUCUGCCUUGGGGUGAGAAAUGUCCAGAGCUUGGGACAAAUAAGGGCAUGUUUCAGACUCAGGACAUACCUGCUCUAAAGAAUUAUGGGCUCUAGGGAGCUCAAAGAUCAGAAAAGAGGAUGAGGGCUCAGUUAGGGUAUAGGACAUGUGGGUGAGGAUAUUAAGGGGCAAAAGAACUACUACAGGCUGGGCGCGGUGGUUCACACCUGUAAUCCCAGCACUUUGGGAGGCCGAGGCGGGUGGAUCACGAGGUCAGGAGUUCGAGACCAGCCUGACCAACAUGGUGAAGCCCCGUCUCUACUAAAAAUACAAACAGUAGCCAGCUGUGGUGUUGGGUGCCUGUAAUCCCAGCUACUCAGGAGGCUGAGGUGGGAGAAUUGCUUGAACCUGGGAGGCAGAGGUUGCAGUGAGCUGAGAUCAUGCCACUGCACUCCAGCCUGGGCGACAGAGACUCUGUUUCAAAAAAAAAAAAAAGAACUACAAGUUCUGAUGCUACAUUCCCAGAUGUGAGUUUUAAUCUCCUCUCCACUGACUGAUCCUGACUAAUCAAUAGCCACUGUGCCCCAGUUUCAACAGUCUGCUGGAGUCAAAUCUGAACCCCAACUAUGCCCUCUUAUGGGGGGCCCUCUGGGAUGCCAACAUACAUUCACUUCUUCACCUGGCUAGGCAUUCCAUGGGUACUCACUUUGCAGUCACUCCCCUAGGGCCACGCCUAGGAGUUACUACUUCCCUACCACUUGUUAAUCUUGAGUGAGUUUUGGAUGUCCUCAGUGGGUCCUGAGACAAGUCAGAGGAGAGCUAGAGUAGGGAACUGAUCACCAGUGGUCCCCCUGGUCCUCAGCUCUUGGAGAGGGAAUGAAUGCUCUGGCCAGUUCCAUCUGUGCAAAGGAUCGAACAAAGCCAUUUUCUACAAUGCAACCCUGUCCAAAGCCCCCUUCUCAAAGCUGCCUGCAACUUUCAACCCCACUGAAUGGACUUCGUGCUGGGACAGAGGCAAAGACUUAAAUGAGGAGCAAAAGAAACGUCGACUCCAUCACCAAAAUUAGAAGUGUGGCUUAAGAAGCCACAUCGCCCCGGCCCGGCAGUGGCCAGUUCACCUCAUUAUGAUAAUCAGUGUGUUUUUCCUUCGCAGACAAAGAAGGCUCCUUAUGCGACGAAUAUUGGAAUCCAGCAGCUAACCUCAUUAACGUCUGCAGCCUCUUCCUUCGACAAGGCCCAAGAUUAGCCCUGUGUUCAUUAAGGGAAAAGGACGGAAAGUGGAAUAAAACUGAAAAACACCGCUGGGGUAAGGGGGAGGGGAGGCCCUCUUCUGUUAGCCAUUCAUUCACUGAAAUACUUCGUGUACCUUCAGGAUUUAAUCACCAGCGAAGGGGGCGGUGGGGAGGGGGCAGGUUUUACCAGGAUGUGGGAGGUAAAGAGGUUAAACUCAAUGGAAGGAGUUAAAAACCCAAACUAGGGUGAUUUGAUGUGAAAGCUUCCUGGGAUUUGUCAUUGGGAUAAUCAAUUUAAAACCUUCUUCCCGUUUGCUUUCUUUUAGCCCAACCUAACGUAAGGGGAAACCGUCUUUGGAUGUGUUUUUGGCUUUUAAUAUUUUCCAAGUCUCCCUUUCCUACUUGUUUUUUUGUCUUUAAUGCCUUUGUUUAGUUAUUCUCUUCUCCUGUCUCUCCUCCACGCCCCUCCCUUUCCACUUCUUUCUUCUCUUUAGUCCUCCCCAUGGGAACCUAAUGUAUACGAAAAUCUAGUGGUGCCUCCAGUUGUAUUUUUCUCAUGAAUGCUUUAUUGACUUUGCUUCAAGCCCUUCAAAUAGCAUCUGGUGCUUACCUGUGAGACAUCCCACCUGACCUGCCAGAUAAAGAUGAUUAACCCUAUUUUGAAACUGAGAUAAACCUGGCUUGGAAAAGUUUACCUACCCCAAGGUCUCAGCACUAAGUAACUUAACUAGGACUCAAACCCAGGUCAGCGACUCCUGACUGCUUAAGACAGCAUGGUAAGAAGCAGGUCCAGAAGUCGAGGGACCUGGGUAUGCAAGUUCCUAGGAGACACUAAGAACGAGAGAAGGGGGAGCAGGUGUCUCUGUGAAGGGGAGUGUAAGGACACAGAAGUGAACCGGGGCCGCAGAGCCCUGUGAGAGAAGGCAUGAAAAUGUGUCGUCGUGUCCAUGAGCUGAAAACAUGACAAGGAUUAAGCUACAGAAAAAUCUUUACCUUUGUGAGAGCCCUUCCACGGAGUAGAGCGAGUCAGGAAGCAGUGGGCUGAAGAGGAAAUUGGAGGUGAGGAAGGAAGACAGCAAGUGUAGACAGGCCUUUCAAGAAGCUUGGCUGUGAAAGGAAAGACAGAGGCUGUAGUGGCUAGAAAAGAUGACAGCAGGGACCUGGGAGGCUCCAGGCUGCAGGCAGAGCAAAGUCAGAAAUGCAGAGGGAGGCCUUCUGAAGGAGGCCAGGACUGAGACAGGUACAAUUCUUCCUCUAGAACUCAGGAACAGGAGUUCAGUGAUCCAGUGGGGCCCAAACUACAGAGCCUCUUGACAGCCUCUGUUUCCCUGGGAGUGGCAGUGGCCGGCCCUGGCUCAGGACAGGGAGUUGUGAGGAUCAAAUGAAUGGACGGUUGCAAAAAGUGACAGAAACAUUCAUUACCACUAUUCACUGGGAGCAGGACUCCCGAUUUUACAGCCCACUCGAAUCUCACUGGGGCCCGGAUUUUCACUGACCAUAAAUUAUUCGUCCUGAACAUUAA
Chlorocebus sabaeus (green monkey) is the source of this 5638-nucleotide non-coding RNA. NCBI's taxonomy places the organism in Eukaryota, Metazoa, Chordata, Mammalia, Primates, Cercopithecidae. The record is from RefSeq and is a predicted model, not a curated record.